RNAcentral lists this long non-coding RNA (1837 nucleotides) under Daphnia pulex (common water flea). Its description in RNAcentral is "uncharacterized LOC124204487, transcript variant X2". The record is from RNAcentral. Lineage: Eukaryota; Metazoa; Arthropoda; Branchiopoda; Diplostraca; Daphniidae.
UUAGUGUGAAGGUGUGACUAAUGACUCGUGUGAUUUCGUCCGUCGACGAAAAACUCGAAAGUAAAAAUUUACAUUGCUUUUAGCUCAGCAACUCUUAUUAGCCUCUUUCUAUAGAUGUAGUCAUUGUAGUGAGCCAUUCAGAUUAUAUAAUGAUAAUAUCCUGACCACCUAAGAAACAGUUUUUUCUGUGGUAGCCUUCCUUGCUUUGCCUGUUUUCAAUUGGAUUCCAGUUGGGCAAAUCCAACAACUAUAAGAAAGAGAUUAAGAGAUACACCAUAUCCACGAAAAGUUAAUUCCAAACUUUGCCUCUUAUCAAAGCUUUGUCACGUGUGCCAAGUAUUUUUGCUGACUCCAAGAAACCGUUAAACAAUGGGACAACUUCAACAUGCUUCAAGUGCAAUUAUUAAAUAACUUUUGUUGUGAGGCUUGGUGUAUCAACUAGGUAUGAAGCUACUGUGUGCUCACUUUUCUCCGAGUUCAGCAACCUUUACAUCAAUGAUCACAACUGGAUAUUCAAUGGUUAUUUCAACAGGGCAUUAUUGCGUAAUAAUACUUUGAGUGUAUUACUAAUGUCGACUUGAAGCAGAACCGUCAACAAAAUUUGAUCCAUCGGUCAUCUCGCUCUUAAAACGUCCUCGCCCAGAGCUCCAGUAUCUUGUGGUGUGCAGCUACAUCCAGCUGCGACGUUAGUGGAGAUGAUCUUUUCAGGUUCCUGAGCAAACGAUUUCGUCGAUGGUGACGACAACAUUUCCCAGUGGAUGGUCGUUUUCUACAGUUUUGUUUUCCACUUUGAAAGAACAAACAGUUUGGGAAUGUCGGCCGAGUUCCUGCAGUUCGUCCACGAUGGAAACGGUGCGAUACUGGACCACGUUGUCUUCUUCUUCAGGCUGUCCAAGUUGACCGGAACCAGUUGCGGCAGUGCUUGGUAGGACCAGGCAAUGAGCUGCGGAAACGAAAAACAUUAAAAGGCAAGAUCCACAAAGAUAUGCUACACAAAAGAUUCUUGGUCGAUUUGUCAAAAGUUUCAUUCUUGUCACACGAAGAGAUAUAGUUCUAACCCAUUGUUGGUCGAUGGUGUGAAGCUGUAACCAAUUCCGCUGCACGGCCCACCCAGAAAGCCUACCUCAGAUAAAUGACAUGAAUGAAUAUUCAGCUUUAGAUGGGAACUCCAACAACUUCUGCGAUCCUCCUAAUCCUUUCCAUCUACCCGACUUUGACACCGGGACCACCUAUUAUUGCCGACUUCUAAUGGUACUUCCGGACUUCCGGUAAUCCGCCACAGCUCGACCGGCUUUCAGUAUUCAGCCCACAUCCGAGACUCUAUACAAUUGACGAAUCCAUCGUAAACCUGGAAACGUGCAUUAGAAAACCGGGUCCGUUUUGCGCACAACACAGAUGAUUCUCAGAGCGUUGCGCCUAUAAACGAGAAUGACAGAGACCUUUUAAUUUCGAGGGAGAUGAAUUAUUUGAAAAUGUCCAUUAGAAAAAAAUUAAGAAACCGCUGGCAAAUACCGAUCCGUCUGUUGGCAAUAAGCCAAUAACCAACUGUGACCAUCAAAAUUUUAACAGCAGAAUAAAGUACGCAAUGGGAAAACAGAUCGAAUUCAAGGGAAAAACUGAAAGAAUUUGAAUUAAAAUUCAAUAAAGAGUAGGGAAAGAAAAAGUUUUGGUUGCACAAACUGCCUGGAACAAGAGUCGGGUCGGCGGUCAUCGACUAUUACCAGUACAGUUUGGACUUUUUGGUUGAAUCUUUUUAAAUUGAUAGAUUAAUCGCAUUUCUUACACGACGUGUGUUAAAGUUUUACCCGUAGGCCUAUCCAUAAAUCAUUGACACAAC